UUAAGUUCAGCGGGUAAUCCUGCCUGAUCUGAGGUCUAAUCUAAAGAUUUGACUAGAUGGAUUGGAAGCCUCUACUGUCAUCUACUGGUCGGCCACCCGAGGGUGUCCUCAGCGAAUAGUCUAUUACGCUGAGUCAAUCCGAAGUUCGAAAUUGAGAGGGCUAAUGUAUUACGACCGAGCAAGACAGAGCUUGCAGCGAU
RNAcentral lists this unclassified non-coding RNA (200 nucleotides) under Rhodotorula sp. Its description in RNAcentral is "partial internal transcribed spacer 2". The record is from RNAcentral. Lineage: Eukaryota; Fungi; Basidiomycota; Microbotryomycetes; Sporidiobolales; Sporidiobolaceae.